CAUCCAUAGCUCAGCUGGAUAGAGUACUCGGCUACGAACCGAGCGGUCGGAGGUUCGAAUCCUCCUGGAUG
RNAcentral lists this transfer RNA (71 nucleotides) under Erwinia persicina. RNAcentral's name for it is "tRNA-Arg". It matches the Rfam family "tRNA". Rfam says of the family: Transfer RNA (tRNA) molecules are approximately 80 nucleotides in length. Their secondary structure includes four short double-helical elements and three loops (D, anti-codon, and T loops). RNAcentral also lists the same sequence under 1 other name. Lineage: Bacteria; Pseudomonadati; Pseudomonadota; Gammaproteobacteria; Enterobacterales; Erwiniaceae. The record is from RNAcentral.